ACAAGAAUCUUACCAAAUCAAGAACUGUCCCAGGAAUCAACCCCAUUGAUUUCACUUUGGCAUUUUAUUGUACUUUUCAAGAGUAGAGAAAAAUACAUGUAACCAGAAUGUAUACAGAAAGUAUUCAAAAUGUAGACAUAUCAAGUCAGGAUGGGAGAACUGAAACCAGGAAACUGAGCAAUCAGAAUAAGACAUUGGAAGCAUCAGAGCAGGAGAGCAUCCUUGGGUCAGGAAUUUGAUCAUCUUUGGGACAGCAAGAAUGCCUCCUCUAUGGUCUGUGUCGUCUGGAGCAUCAACGAGGAGGACUCCAUGGCUGGAGAUGACUCAACAGAAGGAACUAUUAACAUCCAUAACUGGUUAGAGCUGAAGGAUCUAUGACUGCACUGCUUUGCCGAGACUUUGUCACUGUCAUUACGGUAA
Long non-coding RNA from Cercocebus atys (sooty mangabey), 420 nucleotides. RefSeq lists it as uncharacterized. NCBI's taxonomy places the organism in Eukaryota, Metazoa, Chordata, Mammalia, Primates, Cercopithecidae. The record is from RefSeq and is a predicted model, not a curated record. The transcript is spliced from 4 exons.